Molecule: long non-coding RNA, 459 nt
Organism: Brassica napus (rape)
Lineage: Eukaryota; Viridiplantae; Streptophyta; Magnoliopsida; Brassicales; Brassicaceae
Exons: 2
Source: RefSeq, a predicted model, not a curated record
AAGGUUUCACUUGCCAUAUAUGGCGACUUAACAUUGGUUUCUCGGGUUAGAAACAUCAAUGGCAAGCCCUUUAGCUUCUCAUUCGCGUUAUGCAGUCUCUUUACGCAAUAGCUUGCUCAGAGUAGAGACUUCUGUCAUGAUAAUAUUCUUUUGCCAAGCCUAGAGUCUCAGAAACACAAUUUCCCUAGAGUGAUGGAUUUUUUCAACCCAAGGUGAUCCAGUGGGCAAAAGAGGGAGAAUAACCACACGCUCUUUGUUUAAAACUUGGGUUGACCACAUUGUGAAGAGUCUCCACAUUUUUAAAACCGAGAAGUCUCAACUUUGAUUGAUAAUUUUCCAUACUUAAAUGAUAGAAAAGAAUGUGCCACUGAGACAUAAGAUAUUUCUGCAGAUUUUUUUUUGUUUUUUUGAACAUCAGUCUGCAGAUUUUCUUGAUUGCAUAAAGAUUAUUUUCUGGUA